AGAUAGCUUGAUUCUGGGGCAUCAGCCGUGGCGCCUUUAGGCUUAAGGCUUAAGCGAAGCAAACGUCAGGGAAAGGAAGAAGAAGAAGAAGAAGAAGAAGGUCAGAUAUUCACAGAUUCCAAGGUUGAAGAAGAAGAGAUUUGGUUUUAGACAAGACAAAAAGUUGAAGAAGAAGAAGAAGUAGAGCAACUCUACGAACAACACCCAACGGCGGCAUUUCCGAGCUUCGGUUUGAGUCUGUGUGAGAAGUAAUCGUUUUAAUGGGUGGAGUUGUGAGGGGAGUGAUAGUCGACCAUGCGCUGCUUCAACAUGGAAAUGGAGAGCCCGACAAUAACAACCCAACCCUCUCCUUGCUCCGCAAGCUCCCAUUCUCCAACAUCCGUACGGCUAUUUCCUAUGGAUUGCCUCUUUCAGCUGAUCAAGUCAAUCUCCUGCAGGCAAUGGCAGACCUACACUCUCUUCAAUGCCUUCCUUUGACUGCAUCUUCCAUGGACAUUGCUCCACGUGAGAUUGCCCAAGCUUGGGCUCAUAACUCAGGCACCAUCUUGUACCUCCUUCCUAACCGCGAUGCCUCUCCCAAAAUAACUUGCACUUUCUUCUCAAUUGCUCCGGGUGCUGAUGUUACCAGUGCACACAACAAGUCAAACAGGAUUUAUAUGGACAAAUUGGAAGAGCUACCUUUGACUAUUUGCCGCUUAAAUAAAAAGGCAAUAAGCAACGAUGUUGUGACAGUUGGUUACAUUAUGAAGCCUUCUCGUGAGGAAGAUUUUGCCAAGAGGGGUGCCUUUCCAAUGUGUGCAACUCCAAAUGGGUUGAUUUUUUUGCCCUUGACGUUCAAGAUUCCUAUAUCAACACAGUUAGAAGAGGUUGAUGUGAUUCUCCAUAAAGCAACUGAUGAAAUUGUGUCGAUUGAAUUAAACAGCUUCUCAGAACCUUCCUACAGAAUUGCUUUCACAACAGGAAUGCAGGAACUGCAAAGGAAUAUUGAAAAUCACAAUCAUUGCUUUGAAGUUGAUCCACUUAGUAGCAUUUACCCUGUUUUGGAUCGGUUAACGAUCCAACAAAUUCUACUUGGUCUGGAGGAUCUCAAUUCAGGAGGACGCUGCAAAGUCAGGGCCCCUCACUUUUUCAAGGUUGACAGGUUUGAUGAACCGGAUUUGGUACAAAGACUACGUGAUGCAAAGCUGUCUGUUCCAAGUAUAGUGAAACCUCAAGUUGCCUGUGGUGUAGCUGAUGCUCACAGUAUGGCAAUUGUCUUUAGAGUUGAAGAUUUCAAAGAUUUGAGUGUUCCGCUACCUGCUGUUGUUCAGGAAUACGUUGAUCAUUCAUCCACUUUGUUCAAGGUUUAUGUUCUGGGUGAGAGAGUUUUCCAUGCAGUAAAGAAGUCUACACCUAAUGCUGACAUUUUGAUGAAAUCAUCUGAAAUUAAUGGUCUCAGACCUCUUCUCUUUGAUAGCUUAAAAUCUCUACCUACUGGCACUGGAAACCAGCAUUCUGGAGGUCAGGAUCUGUGUCUUGAUCUUGCUCUAGUAAAAGAGGCUGCUGAGUGGCUUUCGAGGAGGCUUGGUCUUACCAUCUUUGGCUUUGACGUUGUUGGGACAUUCAGGGGACGAAGUUGGGUGAAUGGCUGAGAAGGGACAACCUUGGCAAUUUACUUGGUAUAACGUAGUUUGAAACUGUUAAAAGGAGGAAUUCAGGGAAUUUGGUGAAUCUAGCAUUGCGAUAAAUAAAGAAUUGCAUUGUGGAAUGAAGCUUUGACCUGGUGCAAAGAGAAGCCAAACCUAUGAGAUGUAGUGGAGGGUCUAGAAAACAUAUUCAGGAAGGUUCUGGGGAUCAUGUGAUUGUGGAUGUAAACUACCUGCCAUCAUUCAAAGAAGUUCCUGAUGGUACGGCGAUUCCUGCCUUCUGGGAUGCUAUUAAAAAGAAGGUUGAUUCAAAAGCAAUGAAGCAAGCAAGCGUGGCCGCCUCCCAUGGAAUGUAAAGCGGGUGCGAGAUAAGAAAUGCGGUUGGUGUCCAAUAAGAAAAUGAAAGACAACCUCUUGGGAGAUGAAUGAGAUGUCUUCUGACAAUAAGCUUGUAGUUCUUCACAUGUCCAUGUCUGUUAGGUGUGGUGCACCGUGCAUGUGAUGUGAGGCCGUGAUCUUACUAUCUCGAAAGUUUUGGGCUUCUUCUCUUGUUCUAAUUGAAGCUAGUACAGUACUACUUACCUUGCUGCCAUAUGAGUAAUUGAAGUAGGAAACCAUUAAUAAGGCUUUAUUUCUUAUGGGAACCAAAUCUAGUAUACUAUAUCCUACCUUUUGUUUCUUCAUUUGUUUUAUAAGUGACACUAUUUAUUUUCGUUAAAUGCAUUAAUCUCUUGUGUUGGAUUUUAUUUU
Molecule: RNA transcript, 2375 nt
Organism: Theobroma cacao (cacao)
Lineage: Eukaryota; Viridiplantae; Streptophyta; Magnoliopsida; Malvales; Malvaceae
Gene: ITPK4
Gene name: inositol 1,3,4-trisphosphate 5/6-kinase 4
Source: RefSeq, a predicted model, not a curated record